CUCCUCAACGAUGAUAACACUGUCACACACGCCAGCUACAGGACAAUCCGGUGUCACACAAAAGUUGACAUGUGCCAUUACAGGUUGUGGGGUACCAUAGAAUAUUUAUUGCAUGUUCUUAGCUCAUCGAAUAUGCCCAAAAAAGGGUACUAAUGUGGUGCUGAAUUUGUUUGGCAGGCUUAUGAAAUACACAAAAUUCAUCUCAUGAACGCGUCCCUCACAACAAGGGCAAUAAUUUAACAUGCGAGGAUGAAUCCAAUUGGUUGCACACGAAUGAUGCAUAUCAGAGGCAACAAAUAACAGGAAGCUCAAAAAGAGCUAUUUUUGUGCCUCUUGGACAGAAAAUGCAACCAAUUGGGAGCAUCAUCAAAGAUAUUGCACAAGGUAUAUUUAAUUGGCUUUGCUAUAAUGUUUCCUGACAUUCUGAUUGUAAUCCUCUUCUGGAUGAAAAUUAAUUGUGCAUGCAGGGCGUGUCACCCAAAUUUCAGGGGUUGAGGUACCCCAACUGAGCAAUAUACGUGACCCAGAUUGCACAAUUGAAGGGAGGGUUCUGAGCAGCAGUACAACAUGCGGAGAUCUUCGUGGUCAUCCUAAUCAAUUAGAUGGAGGUCGCGAGCAGCAACUGCUCCUACUCGUGACCUAAUCGAACAGAGAAAUCAAGAUGGGGUCCGACAUCAGAGCAUCUGGAUCGAGGGGAGAAGAAGAGUUCAAACCGGACCUUCAUGGCGUCCCGAGCAGGGGGGGGGGGUGAAUAGCCUCAUGGCGGCGACGAAGAGUGCAUCAGGACGAGGGAGGGCCCCGGCGUCGCCGGCGAGCAUGCCGAGCUCGAGCGCUCCGUCGUCUCCAGGAGGAG
RNAcentral lists this long non-coding RNA (853 nucleotides) under Triticum aestivum (bread wheat). Its description in RNAcentral is "long non-coding RNA (TAES_LNC006693)". The record is from RNAcentral. Lineage: Eukaryota; Viridiplantae; Streptophyta; Magnoliopsida; Poales; Poaceae.